UUCAUCCCUUUUAUUUUACAUACAUGUACUGUACACAAAAAACUAACAAAUACGUAAAUAAAUAAUUAUAAGAAUGAAAAUGUCCUACCUUUCAGAUGCUAAAAAAACAUUUCAUUUUUUUUUUCAAUUCUGAUAUACAUAUCAUACCCCCUGGCAAAAUAACAAACAAGAUGAACAAAACACUAAAUAAUGGGGUGAACAGUUAGAACAAAAAUAAAGUAAAGCAUUUGGUAAGCUGAAAUGCAUUAAAACUAAUGCCUUUCAUCAAAUAUGCCUAAUUCAAUCACUCAAUUUUAAAUAGCUGUCAGUACACACUUUUCUGUAGAUUAGCAGCUGGCAUAUUACUAAUUUCAUAAUAAAAAUUCCUUACUUAUAUUUUCGUAAUACACACAUUUAUUUUGAUCAAAGUGUAGAGAAUCAAUUUUAUCCUUGUUUUGAUAUAAAUAACAGUAUACAAAUCUUGUUUCAGUUGUACCUGUGAUAAUAUUAAAACUGUAUAUUUUAUCAUUAUGUUCAUUACAUAAUUUGGUAAAUCCUAUAAAAAUGUUAUAAUCCAAAAGUUAGUAAUAUCUUCAUAUAAAAAAUGGAUGUGUCUUUAAUUUGAAAAAAAAAAAACAAUCCAUCAGCAGUCACGGUGAAAAUGAGAAAAAGUGAUGAAUCAGUGAAUGAAAAAUGGGGGGGGUGUCAUAAACAGGUAAAAGAUGGAACUAAACUUUAGUUUAGCUUUAACAAAUAAAAUGCAUUUAGUCUACUUUUUCUUCAAAUUAUGUAUCCCUAAUUUCCAUAAUCAAAUAUGAAUGAGAGACAAGUAACACCCCUCUGAUAUAUGUGUCUGAUUACUUACAAAAAGAUAUCCCCUCUUUUGGGCAAGAAUACCAAUCCCAACAAUCCUCUUGGUUAAUUGACAAGAUUUUUUUCCCAAUUACUGUACAACAAACAGUGGAGCUGAGCUGAGCAAUAUCAUAAUCAGUAAUUAAGUGACACUGUAAGUCUAUGAAAACCAUACACCAAAAGUUAUGUUAGAUUGUAAACAUUGAUCUUAUAUCUUUAUCUUACAGGGCCAUGAUGUAAAAUCUCUUCUUUUUUAUAAUAACUGAAGUUUUAUGCCCUAACAGUAUUCCUAUGUACAUCUUUUUUUUUGUAAUUCCCAUUAUGGCAACUUGCUUGGAGCCUUUGAUUUCAAAUGAGCUAUAUCGGUCUGUUUAUCUCAGUAGUUACCAUUGAUACCAAAGGAGCAUAAUUGUAACUUUAAAGGGAUGGGUCUCUAAAUUCAUUGUAUUUGUAAGUUCUAUAUUCUGUACGUUGUAGAGAAGUUGUCAAAAUAUAACAAGCGUCACACAUCAUCAACAUAAUAUUCAGAAUUCAUCUAUGAUUUGAAUUAAAAUUUAUCAGCUACAUUUCAUAUUCAUUCCAAAACCAUAGGUAUUCUUUAAAUGUCAGAAAUAAACUGUCAAGGUGGUACACACUUAAAUUAGACAAUAAAAAACAACAACAUAUAAUUGGCAAAAAAGAAAAAAAUGUGUAACAACUAACAUCCAAAGAGUAAAUAAUUCUCCCAAUUGAAUUUUUAAUAAGUGACAUUCAUCUUCUUCAUUACUAAAGGCAGGAUUUUGUCUCAAAAUUAGAAUGACUAAACCUCAGUCUUAUCUAUGCAUUAAUCAAGGACAUAUAAAAAUCUUAUCAAUUAAUACUUUUUAAAAAUUCACAAUUCAUUUGGAGUCCAAACAUUUACAAGCAGAAAGAGGGAAAAUUUCUCCAGGAAAUGGGUGUGUCAAAAAACUUUGAGGAAUGAGAUUUUAAAUACCUCAAUUUGCAUCCACUGCAAAGUCAAUGUGAUUAUUUAGAUUUCUGUAUACUUAUCCAAAACAUUUCUAACCAAAUAUUUAUUGAUUUAUAAUGUUGCAACAAAAAAAGGGAUACUCUGGCUACGAGUUUCUGCAAAAUGUAUAAUCGAUUGAAGCCCAAAACAUAAACCAAUAAAAGUGAUAUUUUUCAUUUUUUGCAAAUAUUAUUGUUUGUAAAUGGAUAUUGACCAACUGCAAGUUUUCAACACUGAUAAUACAAAGUCAAACAUGCAUCUGAUUUCUCAUGCCUUCUCAAGAAAAUGCUGAACCCGACACUGCUGCAUUGUAAUGUACUCAUAACCAUCAUUUAAAUAAUUACAAAUAAAUAGAAACUUACACUUCAUUUAUCUUGAUUUCAAAUAUAAGAUGAAAUUAGGAUCACAUCACCUACAGGUAUUUAAUAUAAGCAAUGAAAUCACAAGGAAAGCUUACUCUGAAUAGGCAUUUUGAAUCUAUUACAAUGUAUUCAGUACGGCUUCAUCGAUAUAUAGCAAUAUAUUUAAAACUAUUGGACUCUGUUAGUACAUUAUUUUAAGUAAAGUGUGAUGGACAAACUGUUUCUCACUGCGUCAAGAAAAGAAAAAUCAUUAAUGAGUUAGUAAUCAACUCUGGGGAGCAUUUCAUGAAGAGAUUUGUCAGUUACUUUCACCGACUAAUUUGCUCUCGGCCAAUCAGAUGCUCAGAUUUCUAGUAGCUUAUAACAACAGUCAUUGCAAAUUGUUGGCAAAAAUCUUCAUGAAACACACCACAUGCCUGCAGCAGAUUGAAAAAAUGUGU
RNAcentral lists this long non-coding RNA (2621 nucleotides) under Lytechinus variegatus (green sea urchin). RNAcentral's name for it is "uncharacterized LOC121415513". The record is from RNAcentral. Lineage: Eukaryota; Metazoa; Echinodermata; Echinoidea; Temnopleuroida; Toxopneustidae.